AGUUUCUGAUUUUGGUCUAAUCCAAUUUCUAGUUUAGGUCUAAUUCAACUUUCGGUUCAUGUCUAUUCCAACUUUGGGUCCAGACUUGAUUCAUCUUCUGGUUCAGGUCUGAUUCAGCUUCUGGUUCAGGUCUGGUUCAAUUUCUGAUUCAUACAUGAUUCUACUUUUGGUUCAAGUCUAAUCUAAUUUUUAGUCAAGAUCUGAUCCAAUUUCUAGUUCAGGUCUAACCCAUU
Molecule: long non-coding RNA, 233 nt
Filed under: Phoenix dactylifera (date palm)
Lineage: Eukaryota; Viridiplantae; Streptophyta; Magnoliopsida; Arecales; Arecaceae
Description: long non-coding RNA (PDAC_LNC013434)
Source: RNAcentral